This 490-nucleotide ribosomal RNA is filed under the name uncultured bacterium. RNAcentral's name for it is "partial 16S ribosomal RNA". It matches the Rfam family "Bacterial small subunit ribosomal RNA", at positions 30 to 507 of the family's 1533-position model. The record is from RNAcentral.
AGUGAACGCUGGCGGCAGGCCUAAUACAUGCAAGUCGAACGGCAGCACAGUGGAGCUUGCUCCAUGGGUGGCGAGUGGCGGAAGGGUGGGGAAUACAUGGGCAUCUGCCCAGUCGAGGGGGAUAACGUAGGGGAACUUACGCUACUACCGCCUGCGCCCUUCGGGGGAAGGACGGGGACAUUUGGGGCUGGCGCGUUAGGAUAGGCCCAUGUUCGUUUAGGUAGUUGGCGGGGUAAAGGCCCACCAAGGCGACGAACGAUAGCUGGUCUGAGAGGAUGAUCAGCCACACUGGGACUGAGACACGGCCCAGACUCCUACGGGAGGUAGCAGUAGGGAAUAUUGGACAAUGGGCGCAAGCCUGAUCCAGCCAUGCCGCGUGAGUGAAGAAGGCCCUCGGGUUGUAAAGCUCUUUUGGCCGGGAAGAAAAGCAGCGAGCUAAUACCUCGCUGUUCUGACGGUACCGGAAGAAUAAGCACCGGCUAACUUCGUG